UGACCCUGGGCUCAUGACCCAAACAGAAAUCAAGAAUGGGAUUCUCAACCAACUGAGCCACCCAGGCACUGCUGGAUUCAACUUCUUUAACAGAUGUUUGACUGUGAAUCAUUAUCAAUUAUGUUGUUGAGAGAUGUAUCUUCAAUUAUUCCAGAAGUCUCUCCAAUGCCCAAGUUAUAGAUGAUGGACAAAUGACAGAAUGACAACCUUUCCUCCCCAUGACUUACAGGAAGCUGACUGACUAACCCAUGGCAUCUAGAGGCCCCAGCUUAAGACCAACCAGAGAAAGCCGAGUAUGCAGCCUAAGCAAUCACACAGGAUGCAACAAUUCUAGUCAGCCUGCCUCCCGCUUCCCUUUGCCAACAGCCUCCAAUCAGGGAGCCCCUGAACCUUCCCUCUUUCCUCCUGUAUUUGAGGCUCUGAAAAAUGCAAGUGAUGGAAACGGACUCCUAUGCUGUAGCAAGCUCUGAAUAAAUAGUCUUUGCUUUUCUCCUUUAA
Suricata suricatta (meerkat) is the source of this 498-nucleotide long non-coding RNA. RefSeq lists it as uncharacterized. The transcript has 4 exons. The record is from RefSeq and is a predicted model, not a curated record. NCBI's taxonomy places the organism in Eukaryota, Metazoa, Chordata, Mammalia, Carnivora, Herpestidae.